This 521-nucleotide long non-coding RNA is filed under the name Mytilus galloprovincialis (Mediterranean mussel). Lineage: Eukaryota; Metazoa; Mollusca; Bivalvia; Mytilida; Mytilidae. The record is from RNAcentral.
UGUGUGUAGGUUUUGAUGUUUAUCUAUUUGAAAAUGUUUCACGAAUGUAACCAGAGGAUUUGAUAGUUAUUUCAAUAUAAAAAAUGAUAUCUGGUAUGCUUGCCAUUAACUAUCUACGAAAGUUUAGAUAAGCUGGAUGUAAGCAAUUCAGGGCAACUGUUCGGCUUUCAACAAGGAGAAUAAUCCAUACCACAUAGUCGGUUAAUUUCAGACCUGAUUCAGCAAUUAAAAUUUUACAAUGAUAGAAAUCCUGUAGAGCUGCGUCCCUUGCAAUCAAAUUAAGCCGAGGCGGAGUAUGUUUUAGUUGUGUUUGGUUAAUAUCUAGUGGUUACUAUUUCGUGCAUAUUCAGGACACAGAUUUCUUUUGUGGGCAUACAAUUCGUCAGAACUUAGAAUCCAUUAUCCUUAAGUUGAAUCAGGACUCAAUGUGGAAAAUUUCACCAACAUUUAUAAAAAUACCCGACAGUGUACUGAGUAUGGCUCCGUUAAUAUAGACAUGGGUGGUACGAAUCUCACAGGAG